GAAAACCGUUCACACGUGCGGGUUGUUUGUAAAAACAAACUGUGUAGAUGGCAGCUCAGAGAUAGGGUCUUAAUGUCUUUAAACGAAUAAGGGAUGUGUUUGGACAGAAGCAGAGCUCUGGGACGUGUGGACAGACAUUGACUGUAAUGAUGGACAUCUGCUCAUGGACAGGGAAGUAUUACAACAAGUGGUCCUUGGUCCUUUUUGUUAUUAAUACAGUGUUUUUUCUUCCAGAAGGAAGCAUAACCCCUGCCAGACGUGAUGUAGUGACGGCCAUCUGCUCAUGGACAGAAGCAUAACCCCUGCUGGACACCGGGACGGGGCUCAGGAAGGACCCAACUCAUCCCCGUCCCUUCAUUCACACAACACUCACUCAUUACGCAGUGAUCUGGCUGGAAUCGAACCAGCAAUCUCUGAACCGUGAGGCAGCGCUCUUACCUGUGAGCCACAGAUCACUUGUUGGAGCUUGUGCUGGAACUUAUAUUUCACUGUUCACCUGUAUGUGAGUUUACAAUAAAGCAGUUAAAGCUCAGAGUUGGCUGGUUGUUGCUGAGGUGAGAUUCGAUCCCCUGUCUCCAUCACAGCUGGAAACAUGUGUUUAACCACUAACCCAUUGUGGUUUUCACGCUUUGUGCUUUAUUUUUAAGGCACUUUAUUGGAUGUAAUGACAAUUUAAAUGAGUUAAAGCUUUCAGUUGGGUGAUUGUUGUCUGGGAUUUGAACUCUUGCCUCAGCCGCAGAUUUAUCAGCAGGAAACGUGUGUAUAACCACUAACCCAUCACGGCUUUCACACUGAGUGCUUGCAUUUGGGACACUUUGUUGGAUUUCUCAUUACAUCAAUUAAACAAGAGCUUUCAUGGGAUUUGAACUCAAGACUCCAACAUUACAGUGCAACACUUUAUCUACUGAGCCAGUUUUGUCCAGCAGGCGUCACCAGUGUGGUGUUUCGAGCGAUUCGAAACAGUGAAUCAUUUUGUGAAUCAUCUGAUUCAAAGACUCGAAAAGAGCUUCAGAUUGAGACUUGGAGCAGGACAUGGCCUGGGAAGCGCUCACUAUCCAGAUGAUCCUCAAGGCGGCGUAAGCGGCUUCACGAUCAGACUGACACUUCGUUCAGGAUGCUCGACCAACAUGGCUUUGUUUACAAGCGUGCACACUGUUUAAAACACAGAUCCUGGAGACGACAGCUCAGUGACAGUUGUUAAAUGUCGCUAAACAGCGGAUAUUCCCGCACAUCAACACACAGAAACGACACAUGCUGCGAGGAAACGAUUGACAGGCGACUCACCUCACAGUAACCAGAGGCUGAAACAACGACAAAAGAGCAAACAAAGAGACCUCAUCUUCAUCAUGAGGGAUGUGUUUGGACAGAAGCAGAGCUCUGGGACGUGUGGACAGACGUUGACUGUAAUGAUGGACAUCUCUUCAUGGACAGCAAGAAGCAUAACCCCUGCUGGACAUCGUGCCGGGGCUCGGGGGGGGGGGGACCCGAAUCAUCCCCGUCUCUUCAUUCACACAACACUCACUCAUUACGCAGUGAUCUGGCUGGAAUCGAACCAGCAACCUCUGAACCGUGAGGCAGCGCUCUUACCUGUGAGCCACAGAUCACUUGUUGGAGCUUGUGCUGGAACUUAUAUUUCACUGUUCACCUGUAUGUGAGUUUACAAUAAAGCAGUUAAAGCUUUGA
Molecule: long non-coding RNA, 1683 nt
Organism: Labeo rohita (rohu)
Lineage: Eukaryota; Metazoa; Chordata; Actinopteri; Cypriniformes; Cyprinidae
Exons: 9
Source: RefSeq, a predicted model, not a curated record